This 447-nucleotide ribosomal RNA is filed under the name uncultured bacterium. RNAcentral describes it as "SSU rRNA". It matches the Rfam family "Bacterial small subunit ribosomal RNA", at positions 26 to 518 of the family's 1533-position model. The record is from RNAcentral.
AGAGCGAACGCUGGCGGCAGGCCUAAUACAUGCAAGUCGAACGGAUCCUUCGGGAUUAGUGGCGGACGGGUGAGUAACACGUGGGAACGUGCCCUUUGGUUCGGAACAACUCAGGGAAACUUGAGCUAAUACCGGAUGUGCCCUUCGGGGGAAAGAUUUAUCGCCAUUGGAGCGGCCCGCGUCUGAUUAGCUAGUUGGUGGGGUAAAGGCCCACCAAGGCUACGAUCAGUAGCUGGUCUGAGAGGAUGAUCAGCCACACUGGGACUGAGACACGGCCCAGACUCCUACGGGAGGCAGCAGUAGGGAAUCUUGCGCAAUGGGCGAAAGCCUGACGCAGCCAUGCCGCGUGAAUGAUGAAGGUCUUAGGAUUGUAAAAUUCUUUCAGCGGGGACGAUAAUGACGGUACCCGCAGAAGAACGCCCCGGCUAACUUCGUGCCAGCAGCCGC